This 400-nucleotide ribosomal RNA is filed under the name phytoplankton environmental sample. RNAcentral's name for it is "partial small subunit ribosomal RNA". It matches the Rfam family "Eukaryotic small subunit ribosomal RNA", at positions 587 to 991 of the family's 1831-position model. The record is from RNAcentral.
AGCUCCAAUAGCGUAUAUUAAAGUUGUUGCAGUUAAAAAGCUCGUAGUUGGAUUUGUGGCCGUCGCUUGCGGCCUGACACUCAGUGUUAGUGCUAGCGCGCGACGCCAUCCUUGGGUGGAGCCUGUGUGGCAUUAGGUUGUCGUGCAGGGGAUGCCCAUCGUUUACUGUGAAAAAAUUAGAGUGUUCAAAGCAGGCUUAUGCCGUUGAAUAUAUUAGCAUGGAAUAAUAAGAUAGGACCUUGGUACUAUUUUGUUGGUUUGCGCACCAAGGUAAUGAUUAAUAGGGACAGUUGGGGGUAUUCGUAUUCCAUUGUCAGAGGUGAAAUUCUUGGAUUUUUGGAAGACGAACUACUGCGAAAGCAUUUACCAAGGAUGUUUUCAUUAAUCAAGAACGAAAGUA